UUCCUACGGGGGGCAGCAGUGAGGAAUAUUGGUCAAUGGCCGCAGGGCUGAACCAGCCAAGUCGCGUGAGGGAUGACGGUCCUAUGGAUUGUAAACCUCUUUUGUCAGGGAGCAAAGGGCGCCACGUGUGGCGUUUUGCGAGUACCUGAAGAAAAAGCAUCGGCUAACUCCGUGCCAGCAGCCGCGGUAAUACGGAGGAUGCGAGCGUUAUCCGGAUUUACUGGGUGCAAAGGGAGCGUAGACGGCAGCGCAAGUCUGAAGUGAAAUGCCGGGGCUUAACCCCGGAACUGCUUUGGAAACUGUGC
This 305-nucleotide ribosomal RNA is filed under the name uncultured bacterium. Its description in RNAcentral is "bacterial SSU rRNA". It matches the Rfam family "Bacterial small subunit ribosomal RNA", at positions 336 to 638 of the family's 1533-position model. The record is from RNAcentral.